AUGAAACAGAAAUUACAAUUAUCACAGAUUCACAGAUCUAAAAGUAUUAUCACAGAUCUAAAAGUAUUAAAACAGAUCUAAAAGUAUUAUCACAGAUCUGACAAAGCCCUAAUGCAAGAAAUUAAAAUUGGUCCAUUCACAGAUCUGACAAAGCCCUAAUUAUCAAACAAAAAGCCCUAAUGUUGAUCCAUUCACAUAACAUUAAAAUAAUCACAAAACCAACACAGAUCUAAAAGUAUUAUCACAGAUCUAAAAGUAUUAUCACAGAUUCACAGAUCUAAAAGUAUUAUCACAAAUCUA
Molecule: long non-coding RNA, 300 nt
Filed under: Helianthus annuus (common sunflower)
Lineage: Eukaryota; Viridiplantae; Streptophyta; Magnoliopsida; Asterales; Asteraceae
Description: sRNA HanXRQr2_Chr03g0090261
Source: RNAcentral